UCCCUGGUGGCUCAGAUGGUAAAGAAUCUGCCUGCAAUGCAGGAGACCUGGGUUCUAUCCCUGGUUUGGGAA
This 72-nucleotide transfer RNA is filed under the name Bos taurus (domestic cattle). It matches the Rfam family "tRNA". Rfam says of the family: Transfer RNA (tRNA) molecules are approximately 80 nucleotides in length. The record is from Rfam by way of RNAcentral. Lineage: Eukaryota; Metazoa; Chordata; Mammalia; Artiodactyla; Bovidae.